Molecule: non-coding RNA, 228 nt
Organism: Paramuricea clavata
Lineage: Eukaryota; Metazoa; Cnidaria; Anthozoa; Malacalcyonacea; Plexauridae
Source: the annotation of a GenBank genome assembly
CAUGAAUGUUCAUUGGAUUUAAAAAGUUGACUCCUUAACAGGAUUGUUGCAAUUCUAUUACUAUCCCACCCACUUUCAUCCAAAAUACUCAUUGUUUUGUCUUCAAACUCCGAGUUUAUCCUUCGGAUAGCGAUUUAAACGGUCUCAAGACAUCGUUUAACUUUAUCCGCUCGAUAACCGAAAUUUAAUCGUACAAAAAAAUCGUACAACCGGUCCCAGAAGAAUAUG